RNAcentral lists this ribosomal RNA (397 nucleotides) under Verrucomicrobiota bacterium. Its description in RNAcentral is "Verrucomicrobia bacterium (hot springs metagenome) partial 23S ribosomal RNA". It matches the Rfam family "Bacterial large subunit ribosomal RNA", at positions 2536 to 2925 of the family's 2925-position model. The record is from RNAcentral. Lineage: Bacteria; Pseudomonadati; Verrucomicrobiota.
CUCAUCACAUCCUGGGGCUGGAGAAGGUCCCAAGGGUCCGGCUGUUCGCCGGUUAAAGUGGUACGCGAGUUGGGUUCAGAACGUCGUGAGACAGUUCGGUCCUUAUCCACUGUGGGCGCAGCAGACGUGAGGGAUUUGUUCCUUAGUACGAGAGGACCGGGAACAACGCACCUCCAGUAUGCCGGUUAUGUCGUCAGACGUAGCGCCGGGUAGCUGUGUGCGGAAACGAUAAGCGCUGAAAGCAUCUAAGCGCCAAGCGCCUCCCAAGAUUGCGUCUGCCGGUCGCAAGACCCUGAAGGCUCGGGGAAGACUACCCCGUUGAUAGGCCAGGUGUGUAAACGCAGCAAUGCGUGUAGCUGACUGGUACUAAUCAGCCGUGCGGCUUGAUCACGUAACU